GAUGAACGCUGGCGGCGUGCCUAAUACAUGCAAGUCGAGCGAACGGACGAGAAGCUUGCUUCUCUGAUGUUAGCGGCGGACGGGUGAGUAACACGUGGAUAACCUACCUAUAAGACUGGGAUAACUUCGGGAAACCGGAGCUAAUACCGGAUAAUAUUUUGAACCGCAUGGUUCAAAAGUGAAAGACGGCCUUGCUGUCACUUAUAGAUGGAUCCGCGCUGCAUUAGCUAGUUGUUAAGGUAACGGCUUACCAAGGCAACGAUGCAUAGCCGACCUGAGAGGGUGAUCGGCCACACUGGAACUGGGACACGGUCCAGAGUCCUACGGGAGGCAGCAGUAGGGAAUCUUCCGCAAAGGGCGAAAGCCUGACGGAGCAAUGCCGCGUGAGUGAUGAAGGUCUUCGGAUCGUAAAACUCUGUUAUUAGGGAAGAACAUAUGUGUAAGUAACUGUGCACAUCUUGACGGUACCUAAUCAGAAAGCCACGGCUAACUACGUG
This 497-nucleotide ribosomal RNA is filed under the name uncultured bacterium. Its description in RNAcentral is "partial 16S ribosomal RNA". It matches the Rfam family "Bacterial small subunit ribosomal RNA", at positions 28 to 507 of the family's 1533-position model. The record is from RNAcentral.